This is a long non-coding RNA of Salvelinus fontinalis (brook trout), 697 nucleotides long. RefSeq lists it as uncharacterized. The record is from RefSeq and is a predicted model, not a curated record. NCBI's taxonomy places the organism in Eukaryota, Metazoa, Chordata, Actinopteri, Salmoniformes, Salmonidae. The transcript is spliced from 3 exons.
GACAGACAGACAGACAGACAGAGUGAGAACGACAGACAGUUAGAGAGAAAGAGAGAUUGCUAGGGGACGGAGGAGUACCAGAGGUGAUUAAUUGUUCUUCUCUCUUUCACUCAUGCAGAUCGGACAUCCUGCCAGAUGAGACAUGACAAGGACAGGAAGUAGAACAGGAAUGAGGAAGUGGACUAAUGGAGAACAAGUCGUCUGGAGUUGUUCAUCAGUGCCGAGGACCUUUUCUAGCGAUAAAUCCAUUGGAGCAGCGACAUGCUAUAAUAGAGAGGGUCAGAAGGGAAGGAGCGACGACCCUGUCUUUCAGCAGGGAGACCAGGAGAGGAUGCCGAGGGAGGCCCCAGUCAGAGCACGGCAGGGAGACCAGGAGAGGAUGCCGAGGGAGGCCCCAGUCGGAGCACGGCAGGGAAACCAGGAGAGGAUGCCGAGGGAGGCCCCAGUCGGAGCACGGCAGGGAGACCAGGAGAGGAUGCCGAGGGAGGCCCCAGUCGAGACAGACAGUCAAAAAGGGCCAUGCUACUUUUAAAGCUCUUAAGAAUUUUUGUAAUCUGUUUGCCUUAUACUAACUGAUUAAUGAGCCCACCAGGAUCUGUCCUUCUACCCAAACCAUCAUUGACCUUGUGUUGGUGUCGGAUAGAUCAAGGAUUUGAAACACUAUGGGCUCAGGGAUCAUUCAAUCAUUUUCUAUAGU